UGUGGAGAUGGAGAUAGAACAAAAUCUUUGGCUCGUGCAGCUCUUUCGGAUUUGGGAUGAAAGAGCUGGACGUGUUCAGGUGGAUAUAUCUAGUGUGUAAAGAAUUAGUUGAAAGAUGAAUAGGUUAAUUAUCAGCUGCUAAAUGAUGAAUAUGGAUUCAUCAAGUUUCAAGACCUGAUAUUUGACAGAUUUGAUAUGGUUCUCUCCUCCUUGAAGGGAUGGUCCGGCUUGAGUGGGCUGGCGGAAACUCUUGUAUUUGUGCCUACAACAAAAUUGAUCCCCCUGGAAAAAGUUAUGUCAAGGGCCGUUUGAAACAUAGCAUAGAUCAAUGAUCUCCAUGUUUACACCUCAUUAUCAUGGUUCAUAAACUCAGGUUUCCUGAUCAAGAAGCAUAUUUAUUUUGCCAUUAUAAGGUCAGCUUUUCUACUGUUAGUAUGGUUGCUUGUGUUCUAAAAAUAGCUUAGAAUUUAAGAAGGAUAAAGCAAACAAUACCUUACAAAUUUCAUAUAGGGUAUUACAAAAGCAUAUGCAAUACUCUUUUAAGUUUGAUUACAGCAA
This is a long non-coding RNA of Mangifera indica (mango), 558 nucleotides long. RefSeq lists it as uncharacterized. The transcript is spliced from 2 exons. The record is from RefSeq and is a predicted model, not a curated record. Lineage: Eukaryota; Viridiplantae; Streptophyta; Magnoliopsida; Sapindales; Anacardiaceae.